CACGUAGGCGGCCCGUCAAGCGUCUUGUGAAAUCCCUCGGCUCAACCGAGGAAUUGCUGGGCGAACUGGCAGGCUUGAGACAGGCAUGGGUGCGUGGAACUCUUGGUGGAGCGGUGAAAUGCGUAGAUAUCAAGAGGAACGCCGGCGGCGAAAGCGAUGCACUGGGCCUGAACUGACGCUGAGGUGCGAAAGCUAGGGUAGCGAACAGGAUUAGAUACCCUGGUAGUCC
RNAcentral lists this ribosomal RNA (229 nucleotides) under uncultured bacterium. Its description in RNAcentral is "partial 16S ribosomal RNA". It matches the Rfam family "Bacterial small subunit ribosomal RNA", at positions 568 to 796 of the family's 1533-position model. The record is from RNAcentral.